AUGCUUGUUGGUGGUUGGGGGAGUAUGAACUUUUACCAUUCUGCAUGGGAACUGCCUAUAAUGCAUGUAGUAUGGAAGAUACAACCAUCUCCUAGUUGUUGUGUUGACAGCAAAAGUAUGCCGCUCAAAAUGUUAUUCAAUCUCUAUUUUAAAAUCGAGCUCUGUCACCUCUACAAAUCCCUGCUUCCCUCUGAGAAGGGCCUAUCUAUUUAUUUUUAUGUUGAGUCAUCACCCUUCUUAUUAAAAGCACCCGCUGGAGAGCACACUGUUAUUUGCGUGUAUUACUAUUGGUUUAUAUUGGGUAUGACUUGA
Molecule: ribosomal RNA, 312 nt
Filed under: Triticum aestivum (bread wheat)
Lineage: Eukaryota; Viridiplantae; Streptophyta; Magnoliopsida; Poales; Poaceae
Description: partial small subunit ribosomal RNA
Source: RNAcentral